GAUGAACGCUGGCGGCGUGCCUAAUACAUGCAAGUCGAGCGAACGGACGAGAAGCUUGCUUCUCUGAUGUUAGCGGCGGACGGGUGAGUAACACGUGGAUAACCUACCUAUAAGACUGGGAUAACUUCGGGAAACCGGAGCUAAUACCGGAUGAUAUUUUGAACCGCAUGGUUCAAAAGUGAAAGACGGUCUCGCUGUCACUUAUAGAUGGAUCCGCGCUGCAUUAGCUAGUUGGUAAGGUAACGGCUUACCAAGGCAACGAUGCAUAGCCGACCUGAGAGGGUGAUCGGCCACACUGGAACUGAGACACGGUCCAGACUCCUACGGGAGGCAGCAGUAGGGAAUCUUCCGCAAUGGGCGAAAGCCUGACGGAGCAACGCCGCGUGAGUGAUGAAGGUCUUCGGAUCGUAAAACUCUGUUAUUAGGGAAGAACAUAUGUGUAAGUAACUGUGCACAUCUUGACGGUACCUAAUCAGAAAGCCACGGCUAACUACGUG
Molecule: ribosomal RNA, 497 nt
Filed under: uncultured bacterium
Lineage: Bacteria
Description: partial 16S ribosomal RNA
Rfam family: Bacterial small subunit ribosomal RNA
Source: RNAcentral